AUGAUCCUUAACGAUAUCCACUUGGGGACCUGUGGUCAUCAUGCGUCCUCUCGGACCAUUGUGGCUAAAGCAUACCGAGCGGGGUUCUACUGGCCAAGAGCCAAUGAGAUGGCAAAAGAGAUAGUCGAUAAAUGUGAAGGAUGUCAGUAUUACUCCAAUAUGCCGCACAAGCCCGUGUCAGCCCUGAAAACCAUUCCACUCGUCUGGCCCUUCGCUGUUUGGGGGCUGGACAUGGUUGGACCACUGAGAACAGGCAGGAGCGGCUUCACUCAUGUGCUGGUAGCAGUCGACAAGUUCACCAAAUGGAUUGAA
RNAcentral lists this ribosomal RNA (312 nucleotides) under Triticum aestivum (bread wheat). RNAcentral's name for it is "partial small subunit ribosomal RNA". The record is from RNAcentral. Lineage: Eukaryota; Viridiplantae; Streptophyta; Magnoliopsida; Poales; Poaceae.